Musa acuminata AAA Group (dessert banana) is the source of this 2510-nucleotide long non-coding RNA. RefSeq lists it as uncharacterized. NCBI's taxonomy places the organism in Eukaryota, Viridiplantae, Streptophyta, Magnoliopsida, Zingiberales, Musaceae. The transcript is spliced from 4 exons. The record is from RefSeq and is a predicted model, not a curated record.
AGUCUAGACGUGAAAGAAGCGCUCGUGUAGACUGACGCAUAUAUCCUCCAAAACAUUGAAGGCGACGAGCGCCUCUGUGAUGAUUCCUGUCGUCGCAUCAAUUGCAUCCUAUCGCUGUUUGACAAAAUGCCAAGGCGGGAGCGGAUGGUGUAAGAGGAGGUUGAGCGUGGACUAUCAUGUCGCAUCUACAUCUGAUGCCUAAACGUUGGUUUGUUUUCCACUCUCCUGCUGCUACGUAGAGUAAAAAGCGUUGUCGUCUCGAUGGCUUCAGUUAUCGCAUAAACAGCGCUCUAUAACUGCUCGACGAAAUGCCUAGCCGGGUGGGAGCUGCCUGGGAUUUGCUGAGAAGAAACUCCACAAGAGAUAAAUGAGGAAGGAGACCGAGGAAGCUAUUUCUGGAGUUGGUGUGAGUGUUACUGUCAUCAUCCCAUACAUUGUGAAGUAGGACAAAUUUAAAAGCAUGAAGAGCAAGAACCAGAGGAAUUUUACUAUCGAAAACUGGAAUCCAAUCAUUGGAUAGAAAAUAAAUGAAAAGAGGAGCAUUUGGAGUAUCACAAAUGGGGUUUCAACUGCCACCUGCAGAUGUUAUGAUGAUAUUCAUCUAUACAGAACUGAAAAAAUAAGCAGUGACGUAUCUAUUACUUAAUGUAUGCUGAUUGGUUUUCUAUGAAAAAGUGGUGGACUACUGUGUUUGUUGGUAGAAACAGUAUACUGCAGCACAUGUAUUGCAAUGCCUCAGAGGUACCGGGCAUGCUUCAUGCCCAGUUGUGCCAGAAGUGACAACACAUGCCUCAGGCAAUUUCUGGCAUUUUCCUUGCUAGAAAUGUAUUAUCAUACUCAUUGUCAUGGAAUGAUGAAACAACAAUCCUUGUGUUGGACUUUGAGUUCAUGAUAAAUCGUAAGUUCAUAGCAAAAUGCUGCAAUUUUGAAUGGAUUGCAGAAAUAAGAUUACCUGAGCAAUAGUGUAAGCCAUGGAAGUGUACAUUCCAGCUGAUCCUUCUCGGUAGAGUACUGUUCUCUCCAUCCAUACAAGAGGCUGCAUCAAAAUGGCAUUGACAAAACCUUGAAACAAUGCUGAUGCAUACAUGACUCUGAAAAUGUUGAAAAUAUCUUGUUCACUAGUACUGUUAUUCAUUGAAGAAAGAGCAGGGUUAAAAGUAUUGACAAAGACAUGAAACAUUGCUGUUGCUUACAUGAUUCCCAGUCUGUUGAGAGUAUCUUGUUCACUGAUGUUGUUGUGCAGUGAAAAAAAAGACUUAAACUCUCAGCUAUGGAGGAAAUCAUUCUGAACUCAAGAAAAUAUGUUGUUCACUGGUACUAUUGUUCAGCCAAGAAAACAGAACUAAAAGUUUCAGCUAUGCAUGGGGAAGAUCAUUUUGAACUUACAUGUUGGAGCCAAUUUUACAAAAUACUAUGGCAAAUAGAUUUGAAGUUCCAACUGUAGUCACAAAACGGACGACAUUGAAUUCUGGAUUUUUCCAAUAUGAUUUGUGUAAUUUCCACAAGCACGCACUACAUUGUGACCCAAAAUUCUGCCAAUAUUCAGACGCGAAGUGCAGAUCCUCUGAGUUUGGCCGUAUUUUACUCAGCUCACUAACUAGUUCCAUGUUUUCUCUGUUAGAUCAAGUAUAAAUUCAGCACCUCAUUUUAUUCAUAAAAAGGGGUGGCACAGUGCAGGAGGCUCCUGCUAAUGCAGGAUCUGUGGUGGUUUAGUGUGCACAACCUAGAGGCUGUUUCUAAGACUUGAACCCUUGACAUCCAGAUAGAAAAGAUGCAACCUUGUUAUGCUGCCAAAGCUCAUCUGCUAUUCAUUUUAAAUUUGUGGUCUUUUUACUUGAACCAAGAAUUUUGGUUGUGUUACCUGUAUAGAGAAGAACUUCGAAAGAUCUCUGCAUAGUCGAUGGACUUAUCAUAUUCCAUGAUUGAAGCAGCAGCACCUGCAGGGUAUUGGCGCAGACAUUGAACAAGGUUGGAAGAGGUCGUCGGCCUCCACGCUCAAGUUCUCAAAACGCACCUCAACCUUGGGAACUUGAAUCCCCAACUUGACCAUAAAACAUCACUUGGAGGAGGAACUCCUCGUUGUCCGCAUGGUGAAGGGGGCCUCUUGCCGUUCCAUGCUUGUGGAUCUCGUCUUCCUUCUGCCACUUCAACUUCGGGUUGUGCUACCAAGUAAGCCUGGUGUUGAUGUGCUGUUUUAGCGUGGCUCAGAUAUAUAGAGUGGAAGAGCAACGUGAGCAAAGUAGUAGUAGCAUGGGAACGGUGUAAAGGUGUAUCAGACCUGAAUCGGUUCUGGGUCGGAAUCGAAUCAGGUCAAUAGUUCGAUGAUAUCGAAUCAGAUGAGAAGCUGGGUCAUACGGUUCGAUUCUGAUUUCUAGAAAUUAGGAUGUAAAUCGGUAUGGUAGAAUGUAAAGCUCUGGUUUCAGUUCUUAGUGGAAAGGACUCUGUUCCACACCCACUGUCUCUGUUCAUAGUCUCAACGCAGGGUAAGAACAGGAGCCUAUUACAUGGAC